RNAcentral lists this ribosomal RNA (494 nucleotides) under uncultured bacterium. Its description in RNAcentral is "partial 16S ribosomal RNA". It matches the Rfam family "Bacterial small subunit ribosomal RNA", at positions 28 to 507 of the family's 1533-position model. The record is from RNAcentral.
GACGAACGCUGGCGGCGUGCUUAACACAUGCAAGUCGAACGGAAAGGCCUGCUUUCCCUUGUGGAUUGCGGGUACUCGAGUGGCGAACGGGUGAGUAACACGUGAGUGAUCUGCCCCCAACUUGGGUAUAAGCCUGGGAAACUGGGUCUAAUUCCCGAUAGGACUGCAGGGUGGUGCCUAUGGUGGAAAACGAUUUUCUAGUGGUUGGGGAUGAGCUCGCGGCCUAUCAGCUUGUUGGUGGGGUAAUGGCCUACCAAGGCGGCGACGGGUAGCCGGCCUGAGAGGGUGGACGGCCACAUUGGGACUGAGAUACGGCCCAGACUCCUACGAGAGGCAGCAGUGGGGAAUAUUGCACAAUGGGCGGAAGCCUGAUGCAGCGACGCCGCGUGGGGGAUGACGGCCUUCGGGUGGUAAACUCCUUUCGACCGCGAGGAAGCCACCUGGUUGGAAGGGUGGUGACGGUAGUGGUAGAAGAAGCACCGGCUAACUACGUG